GCUCUAAUAGUUUAAAAAAAACACUGGUCUUGUAAACCAGAAACUGAAGGGUCCAACCUUCUUAGAGCU
Molecule: transfer RNA, 69 nt
Filed under: Merops viridis (blue-throated bee-eater)
Lineage: Eukaryota; Metazoa; Chordata; Aves; Coraciiformes; Meropidae
Description: tRNA-Thr
Rfam family: tRNA
About the family: Transfer RNA (tRNA) molecules are approximately 80 nucleotides in length. Their secondary structure includes four short double-helical elements and three loops (D, anti-codon, and T loops).
Source: RNAcentral